RNAcentral lists this ribosomal RNA (253 nucleotides) under uncultured bacterium. Its description in RNAcentral is "partial 16S ribosomal RNA". It matches the Rfam family "Bacterial small subunit ribosomal RNA", at positions 524 to 776 of the family's 1533-position model. The record is from RNAcentral.
UACAGAGGGUGCAAGCGUUGUUCGGAAUUAUUGGGCGUAAAGCGCGUGUAGGCGGUUUUGCAAGUCGGGUGUGAAAGCCCUCAGCUCAACUGAGGAAGUGCGCCCGAAACUGCAGAGCUUGAGUGCCGGAGAGGGUGGCGGAAUUCCCCAAGUAGAGGUGUAAUUCGUAGAUAUGGGGAGGAACACCGGUGGCGAAGGCGGCCACCUGGACGGUAACUGACGCUGAGACGCGAAAGCGUGGGGAGCAAACAGG